GACCAAAAAGAUGCAUGAUGGAAAUGAUGAACAGUUGCUCUGUUUGCUUACUUUCAAGUACCUAGCUUUUACAUUAGUGUUCUUCCAGGAAUUAUUAAAACUGAAAUUACUAUCUAUGGGAAGCAUAAAACUAAAGUCUAGGUAAGAGAAGGACAUGAUAUAAAGUUUGAGCUACUGUUUAUCUUGUUCCUACUACACUAAGUUCUGGAGAUUUAUUUUGAAAACUUGCAAAUUACAUGAUGAGUUCCUAGCAUGACAAACUUUCUACCACAGCCAUACUUGCUAUAACAUCUUUCCCUACUUAUAUCCACAUUGAGUUUGAUCGAGCUGUGUAGACCCUUAGGAGCUUUUCAUGUGGUUAAAUUAAGAUAUUCACUUGCACACAUGUACUCCACCAUUCACCACCAUACAUUAAAAUUGCUAAAAUAUUAUUAUCACUCACUGUCCCAAGUAUUGUUAUUCUCUCUCUAGAAAGAUUCAAUGCAGAAGAGGCAUGGUUAUGCAAAAAUAUAUGAGGAAAUAAAAAGGGGCAAGUGCCUAGAACCUCGAAGAAGAAAAAGAAAGAAAAAGAGUGAGACGAGAGGUAAAAAUGGACAAGUGUCCGGAGUAGAAUUAGGGGUACAAAGAUACUCACCUGAGCGGAAAAAAUGUACAAGUGUCCGACAGUAGAAUUAGGGGAUCUACUACCCACCUGAAAAAAAAGAGAGAAAAAAGAUAGCCCAUGUUCUCCCAAAAGCAGAGAUCAAAGAAGAGGAGAGAUAGCAAUAUGAGGAGCAAUGAGAAGUAAGCUUUAUCAUUACUUAUACAUUUUUACCAUCACUAUCAUUUACUCCACCACACAUGCACAUCUUGAUUGAAUUAUAUGCUGAGUUCCUUUGGAUCCAUGGCUCGAUUAGACAACAUAUGUAUGAGCUAUUUUUCACUCCUAUGAGCUCCACUUAAAUACUCCAUUAGCUAUAGGUAAGUGACAUUUUGGUAAGGAUCCACAAAUACCACAUAUAGAGAGACUUGAGAGAAUCAUUGCUGGGAACUCUGAGUUUUAUUUUGAAAAACUUAUACAAAACUUCAGAACAAAGGUGAAGUAUAGACAGGAGGA
This 1096-nucleotide long non-coding RNA is filed under the name Sorghum bicolor (sorghum). Its description in RNAcentral is "long non-coding RNA (SBIC_LNC006793)". Lineage: Eukaryota; Viridiplantae; Streptophyta; Magnoliopsida; Poales; Poaceae. The record is from RNAcentral.